UAGGGAAUAUUGGACAAUGGGGGCAACCCUGAUCCAGCCAUGCCGCGUGAGUGAAGAAGGCCCUCGGGUUGUAAAGCUCUUUUGUCCGGAAAGAAAAGCUUCGGGUUAAUACCCCGGGGUUCUGACGGUACCGGAAGAAUAAGCACCGGCUAACUUCGUGCCAGCAGCCGCGGUAAUACGAAGGGUGCAAGCGUUACUCGGAAUUACUGGGCGUAAAGCGUGCGUAGGUGGUUGUUUAAGUCUGAUGUGAAAACCCUGGGCUCAUCCUGGGAAUGGCAUUGGAAACUGGGCAGCUAGAGUGCGGUAGAGNGUAGUGGAAUUCCCGGUGUAGCAGUGAAAUGCGUAGAGAUCGGGAGGAACAUCUGUGGCGAAGGCGACUGCCUGGACCAGCACUGACACUGAGGCACGAAAGCGUGGGGAGCAAACA
RNAcentral lists this ribosomal RNA (427 nucleotides) under uncultured bacterium. Its description in RNAcentral is "bacterial SSU rRNA". It matches the Rfam family "Bacterial small subunit ribosomal RNA", at positions 355 to 774 of the family's 1533-position model. The record is from RNAcentral.